Molecule: ribosomal RNA, 116 nt
Filed under: Streptococcus anginosus
Lineage: Bacteria; Bacillati; Bacillota; Bacilli; Lactobacillales; Streptococcaceae
Source: RNAcentral
UUAAGUGACGAUAGCCUAGGAGAUACACCUGUUCCCAUGCCGAACACAGAAGUUAAGCCCUAGAACGCCGGAAGUAGUUGGGGGUUGCCCCCUGUGAGAUAUGGUAGUCGCUUAGC